Molecule: ribosomal RNA, 752 nt
Filed under: Bacillus sp. Z172
Lineage: Bacteria; Bacillati; Bacillota; Bacilli; Caryophanales; Bacillaceae
Description: bacterial SSU rRNA
Rfam family: Bacterial small subunit ribosomal RNA
Source: RNAcentral
GAGCGGAAGAAGGGAGCUUGCUCCCGGAUGUUAGCGGCGGACGGGUGAGUAACACGUGGGUAACCUGCCUGUAAGACUGGGAUAACUCCGGGAAACCGGAGCUAAUACCGGAUAGUUCCUUGAACCGCAUGGUUCAAGGAUGAAAGACGGUUUCGGCUGUCACUUACAGAUGGACCCGCGGCGCAUUAGCUAGUUGGUGAGGUAACGGCUCACCAAGGCGACGAUGCGUAGCCGACCUGAGAGGGUGAUCGGCCACACUGGGACUGAGACACGGCCCAGACUCCUACGGGAGGCAGCAGUAGGGAAUCUUCCGCAAUGGACGAAAGUCUGACGGAGCAACGCCGCGUGAGUGAUGAAGGUUUUCGGAUCGUAAAGCUCUGUUGUUAGGGAAGAACAAGUGCAAGAGUAACUGCUUGCACCUUGACGGUACCUAACCAGAAAGCCACGGCUAACUACGUGCCAGCAGCCGCGGUAAUACGUAGGUGGCAAGCGUUGUCCGGAAUUAUUGGGCGUAAAGGGCUCGCAGGCGGUUUCUUAAGUCUGAUGUGAAAGCCCCCGGCUCAACCGGGGAGGGUCAUUGGAAACUGGGAAACUUGAGUGCAGAAGAGGAGAGUGGAAUUCCACGUGUAGCGGUGAAAUGCGUAGAGAUGUGGAGGAACACCAGUGGCGAAGGCGACUCUCUGGUCUGUAACUGACGCUGAGGAGCGAAAGCGUGGGGAGCGAACAGGAUUAGAUACCCUGGUAGUCCACGC